UUAGAGUUUGAUCCUGGCUCAGGAUGAACGCUAGCGGCAGGCUUAACACAUGCAAGUCGAGGGGCAGCGCGGGAUAGCAAUAUCCUGGCGGCGACCGGCGGAAGGGUGCGUAACGCGUGAGCGACAUGCCCGUUGCCCGGGGACAACCGGUGGAAACGCCGACUAAUCCCCGAUGGGAUACGAUGCUUCAUGGCAUUGUAUUGAAAGUUACGGCGGCGACGGAUUGGCUCGCGUCCGAUUAGCUUGUUGGCGGGGUAACGGCCCACCAAGGCUGCGAUCGGUAGGGGUUCUGAGAGGAAGGCCCCCCACAAUGGGACUGAGACACGGCCCAUACUCCUACGGGAGGCAGCAGUGAGGAAUAUUGGUCAAUGGGCGGAAGCCUGAACCAGCCAUGCCGCGUGCGGGAAGGAGGCCCUAUGGGCUGUGAACCGCUUUUGCCUGGGGGCAAUAAGGGCGUCGCGCACGUCCGAUGAGAGUACCAGGCGAAUAAGCAUCGGCUAACUCCGUGCCAGCAGCCGCGGUAAUACGGGGGAUGCGAGCGUUAUCCGGAUUCAUUGGGUUUAAAGGGUGCGUAGGCUGUGCGUCAAGUCGGGGGUGAAAUUCCGGUGCUCAACACCGGGGCUGCCCUUGAUACUGUCGCGCUGGAGUGCGGAUGCCGCCGGAGGAAUGAGUGGUGUAGCGGUGAAAUGCUUAGAUAUCACUCAGAACACCGAUUGCGAAGGCAUCUGGCGAAUCCGUAACUGACGCUGAGGCACGAAAGCGUGGGGAUAGAACAGGAUUAGAUACCCUGGUAUUCCACGCCGUAAACGAUGAAGGCUAACCGCCGGCGACACACUGCUCGGUGGCCAAGCGAAAGCGAUAAGCCAUCCACUCUGGGAGUAC
RNAcentral lists this ribosomal RNA (882 nucleotides) under uncultured bacterium. RNAcentral's name for it is "bacterial SSU rRNA". It matches the Rfam family "Bacterial small subunit ribosomal RNA", at positions 1 to 883 of the family's 1533-position model. The record is from RNAcentral.